This 302-nucleotide ribosomal RNA is filed under the name uncultured bacterium. RNAcentral describes it as "partial 16S ribosomal RNA". It matches the Rfam family "Bacterial small subunit ribosomal RNA", at positions 508 to 809 of the family's 1533-position model. The record is from RNAcentral.
GCAGCAGCCGCGGGAAUACGGAGGGUGCAAGCGUUAAUCGGAAUUACUGGGCGUAAAGCGCACGCAGGCGGUCUGACAAGUCAGAUGUGAAAUCCCCGGGCUUAACCUGGGAACUGCAUUUGAAACUGUCAGGCUGGAGUCUUGUAGAGGGGGGUAGAAUUCCAGGUGUAGCGGUGAAAUGCGUAGAGAUCUGGAGGAAUACCGGUGGCGAAGGCGGCCCCCUGGACAAAGACUGACGCUCAGGUGCGAAAGCGUGGGGAGCAAACAGGAUUAGAUACCCGAGUAGUCCCUGUCUCUUAUAU